GACGAACGCUGGCGGCGUGGAUUAGGCAUGCAAGUCGAACGGUAUAAACCUUUCGGGGUUUAGAGAGUGGCGAACGGGUGAGUAACACGUAGGUAAUCUACCCUCAAACGGGACAACCCAGGGAAACUUGGGCUAAUACCGGAUGCGUGCAAGCAAUGUUUUGGUUGUUAAUGCUAUUCACGGAAGUGAGUAGUGUUAAUGGUUGAGAGCAUUAUUUGCAUAAAAGGUGGCAUAUGCUGCCGUUUGAGGAUGAGCCUGCGUCCUAUUAGUUAGUUGGUGAGGUAAUGGCUUACCAAGGCGAUGAUAGGUAGGCGGCCUUAACGGGUGGUCGCCCACACUGGGAUUGAGAGACGGCCCAGACUCCUACGGGAGGCAGCAGUCGAGAAUAGUCUACAAUGGACGGAAGUCUGAUAGUGCGACGCCGCGUGAACGAAGAAUCCCUUCGGGGUGUAAAGUUCUUUUAUACGUGAGCAGUGCCCUUUAUAUGAAUAGUAUAGAGGAGGGAUUUAAGCGUA
RNAcentral lists this ribosomal RNA (515 nucleotides) under uncultured bacterium. Its description in RNAcentral is "bacterial SSU rRNA". It matches the Rfam family "Bacterial small subunit ribosomal RNA", at positions 28 to 482 of the family's 1533-position model. The record is from RNAcentral.